Molecule: unclassified non-coding RNA, 316 nt
Organism: Erinaceus europaeus (western European hedgehog)
Lineage: Eukaryota; Metazoa; Chordata; Mammalia; Eulipotyphla; Erinaceidae
Gene: 7SK
Rfam family: 7SK RNA
About the family: 7SK was discovered as an abundant small nuclear RNA in the mid-70s but a possible function has only recently been suggested. Two independent studies have found that 7SK RNA binds the CDK9/cyclin T complex (known as elongation factor P-TEFb).
Source: Ensembl
UGGUGUUAGGACUGAUUGGCUGUGCUGUCACUGCAUUGAUCCCCAGGGUUGAUUCUGUUGAUCUGGCUAGCUAGGUGGGUGUCCCCUUCUCCCUCACCACUCCAUGUGUAUUCCGCCCAUAGCUCUGAACUUGAUUGAAGAGGAAGACCUUUCCUGAGAGACUAGCACAUCAGCAGUUGAAGAUAAAGGAGUAACUGUCUUCCUCAUUAGAAGAUCCAAACAAGAUCUCAGGGUCCAUACUGGUGGUGGAGUUUGAGAUGAAUUUCUCAACCUCCCAUAAUCAGAAUUUCCUUAUUAUUUGAAAAGGUGAUGUCCU